This 771-nucleotide ribosomal RNA is filed under the name uncultured Vagococcus sp. RNAcentral describes it as "bacterial SSU rRNA". It matches the Rfam family "Bacterial small subunit ribosomal RNA", at positions 28 to 776 of the family's 1533-position model. The record is from RNAcentral. Lineage: Bacteria; Bacillati; Bacillota; Bacilli; Lactobacillales; Enterococcaceae.
GACGAACGCCGGCGGCGUGCCUAAUACAUGCAAGUCGAACGCACGAAGUUGAAGAGCUUGCUCUUUAACCAAGUGAGUGGCGGACGGGUGAGUAACACGUGGGUAACCUGCCCAUUAGAGGGGGAUAACAUUCGGAAACGGAUGCUAAUACCGCAUAGUUUCAGGAAUCGCAUGAUUCUUGAAGGAAAGGUGGCUUCGGCUACCACUAAUGGAUGGACCCGCGGCGUAUUAGCUAGUUGGUGAGGUAAUGGCUCACCAAGGCAAUGAUACGUAGCCGACCUGAGAGGGUGAUCGGCCACACUGGGACUGAGACACGGCCCAGACUCCUACGGGAGGCAGCAGUAGGGAAUCUUCCGCAAUGGACGAAAGUCUGACGGAGCAACGCCGCGUGAGUGAAGAAGGUUUUCGGAUCGUAAAACUCUGUUGUUAAAGAAGAACAAGGAUGAGAGUAACUGCUCAUCCCCUGACGGUAUUUAACCAGAAAGCCACGGCUAACUACGUGCCAGCAGCCGCGGUAAUACGUAGGUGGCAAGCGUUGUCCGGAUUUAUUGGGCGUAAAGCGAGCGCAGGCGGUUCUUUAAGUCUGAUGUGAAAGCCCCCGGCCCAACCGGGGAGGGUCAUUGGAAACUGGAGAACUUGAGUGCAGAAGAGGAGAGUGGAAUUCCACGUGUAGCGGUGAAAUGCGUAGAUAUGUGGAGGAACACCAGUGGCGAAGGCGACUCUCUGGUCUGUAACUGACGCUGAGGCUCGAAAGCGUGGGGAGCAAACAGG